GAUGAAGAACGUAGCGAAAUGCGAUUAGUAAUGUGAAUUGCAGAGUUCAGUGAAUCAUCGAAUCUUUGAACGCACAUUGCGCCCGUCAGUAUUCUGACGGGCAUGCCUGUCCGAGCGUCAUUUCAACCCUCAAGCACUGCUUGGCGUUGGCGGAUUGCGUGCCCUCGCGGCGCUGCAACCGCCCAAAUACAGUGGCGGUCCCGCUGCGGCUCCCUUUGCGUAGUAACUCACCUCGCACUGGACCGGGCGGCGGCCUGCCGUAAAACCCCAACUCACGAAAUGUUGACCUCGGAUCAGGUAGGAAUACCCGCUGAACUUAAGCAUAUCAAUAAGCGGAGGA
RNAcentral lists this unclassified non-coding RNA (340 nucleotides) under soil metagenome. RNAcentral's name for it is "partial contains 5.8S ribosomal RNA, internal transcribed spacer 2, and large subunit ribosomal RNA". The stretch from base 1 to 120 matches the Rfam family "5.8S ribosomal RNA", at positions 35 to 154 of the family's 154-position model. The record is from RNAcentral.